RNAcentral lists this transfer RNA (72 nucleotides) under Actinomycetota bacterium. Its description in RNAcentral is "tRNA-Val". It matches the Rfam family "tRNA". From Rfam's summary of the family: Transfer RNA (tRNA) molecules are approximately 80 nucleotides in length. Their secondary structure includes four short double-helical elements and three loops (D, anti-codon, and T loops). Lineage: Bacteria; Bacillati; Actinomycetota. The record is from RNAcentral.
GGGCGGUUAGCUCAGCGGGAGAGCACUCGGUUUACACCCGAGGGGUCGGCGGUUCGAAACCGUCACCGCCCA